GCUAUUUUGGCAGAUUAGUGCAGUAGAUUUAGAAUUUAUUUAUGUAGAUUGUUCUACAAGUAGUA
This 65-nucleotide transfer RNA is filed under the name Rhodnius prolixus. Its description in RNAcentral is "tRNA-Leu". Lineage: Eukaryota; Metazoa; Arthropoda; Insecta; Hemiptera; Reduviidae. The record is from RNAcentral.